Erythranthe guttata (spotted monkey flower) is the source of this 604-nucleotide non-coding RNA. Lineage: Eukaryota; Viridiplantae; Streptophyta; Magnoliopsida; Lamiales; Phrymaceae. The record is from RefSeq and is a predicted model, not a curated record.
CAAGUAAGUCCCUCUACUCUCCUAUAAAUAGCCUCUUCAACUUCACAAUUUUCAGCACACAAACAUCAGCCAAAAUCCCUCAUUCUCUCCCCUCUAUCUCGUCCAAACACUCCCCAAAUGGAAGAGUUCAUCUUCCACUUCAAAGCCUUGAAGAUUCUCCAUAGAAGUCUCUCUUUUUCUCUUCUAAAAUCACCCCAAAAUGCCUCUUUCUCCCUAAUUUCGGGAUUCUCCUAAUACCUUCAAAGAAAUAGUCAUAUAAUCUCUCAACACUCAGCCCCAAAACUCUCCAAGAACAUCCAAGCCAAACCCGCUGAAAAUCCACCGAGCCUUUGGUUUUCUUACUCCUUCAUCUUCGAUUUCUUGCUCUUGGGUUCUCCAAGCUUUUUAGGAGGCCGGCGGAGUGGAGUUCGAGGAAUCGCUAGCCCUGGUGCCUUGAAUGUUUUACCCGGAUUUUUACCACGUCAACGAUUUCUAAAAUAUCUAGCCAAGAUAUCGAUUUUUAAUUUUGUACUCUGAUUUGGGAACCCAGUCUAUUAAACGGGGGUAUCUUAAAUAAAGUUUAUUUCCUUCCGCUGUCUUACGAGUGUUUUCUAAACCCCGGUGA